CGUGCUCACUUGCGUACGUGGGAACCGAAAGGGGUGACGACCUGGGCGAUAGAUGUAUGCUGGUUUAUGCACUGCACCAAAUGCGUUAAGGAUGAUGGGAAACGUGAUGGUUUGUAUCUAAGGAUGAGGUAACUUUUUGCUGCUACCUACCUGCCUGCCUACCUGCCUACCUAACUACCUACCUAACUACCUACCUACCUGCCUACCUACCUACCUACCUACCUACCUACCUACCUGCCUACCUACCUACCUACCUACCUGCCUACCUACCUACCUACCUACCUACCUACCUACCUACCUACCUACCUACCUACCUACCCACCUGCCUACCUACCUACUAUUCACCUGCUGCUGUCUAUCAAAGCAUGGGCGCGUGUGCAUUUUCCUGCUCACAUGCAUUGUUAUAUUUGGCGUGUGAGUGCUUGCUUGGGGACUGCAAUUCCCACUACUGAU
Molecule: long non-coding RNA, 453 nt
Filed under: Volvox carteri
Lineage: Eukaryota; Viridiplantae; Chlorophyta; Chlorophyceae; Chlamydomonadales; Volvocaceae
Description: long non-coding RNA (VCAR_LNC003293)
Source: RNAcentral